UGCAAGUCGCACGAGAAAGUGGAGCAAUCCAUGAGUACAGUGGCGUACGGGUGAGUAACACGUGGAUCAUCUACCUCGUAGUGGGGAAUACCCCCGGGAAACUGGGGAUAAUACCGCAUAAUCCUGUGAAGGGAAAGCCGAAAGGCGCUGUGAGAGGAGUCCGCGGCCGAUUAGCUAGUUGGUGAGGUAAUGGCCCACCAAGGCGAAGAUCGGUAGCCGGCCCGAGAGGGCACACGGCCACACUGGCACUGAAACACGGGCCAGACUCCUACGGGAGGCAGCAGUGGGGAAUCUUGCACAAUGGAGGAAACUCUGAUGCAGCGACGCCGCGUGAGCGAUGAAGCCCUUCGGGGUGUAAAGCUCUUUCGACGGGAACGAUAAUGACGGUACCCGAAGAAGAAGCUGCGGCUAACUACGUGCCAGCAGCCGCGGUAAUACGUAGGCAGCAAGCGUUGUUCGGAAUUACUGGGCGUAAAGAGUGUGUAGGCGGUGUUCUAAGUCUGUUGUGAAAUCUCCCGGCUUAACCGGGAGGGUGCGGCGGAAACUGGAAUGCUAGAGGAUGGGAGAGGUAAGCGGAAUUCCUGGUGUAGCGGUGAAAUGCGUAGAUAUCAGGAGGAACACCUGUGGUGUAGACAGCUUACUGGACCAUUUCUGACGCUGAGACACGAAAGCGUGGGUAGCAAACAGGAUUAGAUACCCUGGUAGUCCACGCCCUAAACGAUGCAUACUUGGUGUGAGCGAUUCAUUUCGUUCGUGCCGGAGCUAACGCGUUAAGUAUGCCGCCUGGGGAGUACGGUCGCAAGGCUG
This 807-nucleotide ribosomal RNA is filed under the name uncultured Acidobacteriota bacterium. RNAcentral describes it as "bacterial SSU rRNA". It matches the Rfam family "Bacterial small subunit ribosomal RNA", at positions 56 to 896 of the family's 1533-position model. Lineage: Bacteria; Pseudomonadati; Acidobacteriota. The record is from RNAcentral.